CUUUAUGACCAGAAAAGAUAGUCCGCGUAUCUGACUGCGAAUUCAAAUAAUAUAAUGUUUAAACAUUUAACCAGUUGGAAUUGGAGUUUUUUCUCUUUCUUCAGACCUGAGGCCAGGCCCCAGAGGCUGGCGGAGGGUUUGUCCCACUCCUGUCUACUCUAUAUCAUUCCAGUUUUGUAUAAUUCAGAAUCUUAGCAGUAGAUAGAAAGCAAACAAGGACAGAUCUAACCUACAGAAGCCUGUGUCUUCCGGAGGAACCAAGAAGAGCAUGCCACUCCAGCCUGGGCUGAAUGAGCUCCUCUCUUCUCCAACACCCAGAAGCAAGUACCACCCUGGCAGGAAGGAAGUGCUAGUCACCAGACCCAACUGCCACUCCCAGCAGGAAGGAAGUGCUAGUCACAAGACCCAACUGCCACUCCCAGUUGGGCCCUUCCCCCACAAACUGUCAGUCUUGUUUCCUUUCCACAAUGUACAUAUAUAUAUUUGUUAUUUUUAAGGGAGGAUUCGGAUCUAGAAAUUAUUAAUGUAGUGGAACACAUUGGUGUGAUCUGCUUGUGAGCUAGAGUUGCUGGGAUGGAGUGCCUGCAAUUCCCACCUGCAGGACUUUGAUUGAGAAGGCUACUUGGCUACAGACCACAUUGAAAAACAAAUUCAAGGCAAAGGGAUGUCUCUUAAUCUAUCUGCCUCCAUUUUUUUCCCCCAAAGAUGGGAAGACGUGUUAGAUGAUUUGAUCACCUGUCAGAACUGUCUCUAUGAAAUGUCUUCUCUUCUCUUCUCCUUACCAUCUGUACAGAAAAAAAGAACAAAGCUUCCCAUUCUCCAAAAAGAGGGAAGAGCUGCUUCGAGGAGCUUUUCCUAUCUCAAGUCCUUGGAGAACAAAGGACAACCCUUCAAUCCUUCCCUGUGGUUCCUGAUCAGCUGGAGAGCAGCGUGGAGCAAAUCUGGUUAUCUCUGCUCUCUAAACCAGAAUACUCAGAGACCACAGCUGGGUCAAUCCCCUAGGUGGAAACCAACAUCUAUCCACCUUUGUCUCAUCACUAACCUGUGUUUUCAGUACCAAGACAGAAAGGCUGUACUGGUGUAGGAGAAUCAUUGGUGCACAAACUCUAGAAUAGACUCAAGUUUCUGGUCCUCUGUUAGAUCUCCUCACUUAAUUUAAGCAAGAAUGGCAUUUUCUUCAAGAAGUGUUAGAGAUGGAGUCAACACUAACGCCUUGUUAGGAAAUGAGGCAUCAAGCAGUUAACCAAAGGUUUACUUAACUCUUUAAUCAAAGACAAUCUCAUCUUCUCCGAUCUUCUAUAGAACAUGAUUUAUUAUUUACAUUUAGAACUUAAUGUCACAUCCGUCUUUGACAAUGGCUACAGUCCUUCAUAUGUGUGAGUGUGUGUGUGUAAAUGUUUUCUAAACUUAAUAUAGCAAUACUUCAAAGUAGUGAAGUAGUAUCAUAAGAAUAAAGUACAAAAGCACAUAUUUAAGUUCUAGACA
This is a long non-coding RNA of Monodelphis domestica (gray short-tailed opossum), 1485 nucleotides long. NCBI's taxonomy places the organism in Eukaryota, Metazoa, Chordata, Mammalia, Didelphimorphia, Didelphidae. The record is from Ensembl.